RNAcentral lists this ribosomal RNA (1372 nucleotides) under uncultured bacterium. Its description in RNAcentral is "bacterial SSU rRNA". It matches the Rfam family "Bacterial small subunit ribosomal RNA", at positions 28 to 1381 of the family's 1533-position model. The record is from RNAcentral.
GAUGAACGCUGGCGGCGUGCCUAAUACAUGCAAGUCGAGCGAACGGACGAGAAGCUUGCUUCUCUGAUGUUAGCGGCGGACGGGUGAGUAACACGUGGAUAACCUACCUAUAAGACUGGGAUAACUUCGGGAAACCGGAGCUAAUACCGGAUAAUAUUUUGAACCGCAUGGUUCAAAAGUAAAAGACGGUCUUGCUGUCACUUAUAGAUGGAUCCGCGCUGCAUUAGCUAGUUGGUAAGGUAACGGCUUACCAAGGCAACGAUGCAUAGCCGACCUGAGAGGGUGAUCGGCCACACUGGAACUGAGACACGGUCCAGACUCCUACGGGAGGCAGCAGUAGGGAAUCUUCCGCAAUGGGCGAAAGCCUGACGGAGCAACGCCGCGUGAGUGAUGAAGGUCUUCGGAUCGUAAAACUCUGUUAUUAGGGAAGAAUAUAUGUGUAAGUAACUGUGCACAUCUUGACGGUACCUAAUCAGAAAGCCACGGCUAACUACGUGCCAGCAGCCGCGGUAAUACGUAGGUGGCAAGCGUUAUCCGGAAUUAUUGGGCGUAAAGCGCGCGUAGGCGGUUUUUUAAGUCUGAUGUGAAAGCCCACGGCUCAACCGUGGAGGGUCAUUGGAAACUGGAAAACUUGAGUGCAGAAGAGGAAAGUGGAAUUCCAUGUGUAGCGGUGAAAUGCGCAGAGAUAUGGAGGAACACCAGCGGCGAAGGCGACUUUCUGGUCUGUAACUGACGCUGAUGUGCGAAAGCGUGGGGAUCAAACAGGAUUAGAUACCCUGGUAGUCCACGCCGUAAACGAUGAGUGCUAAGUGUUAGGGGGUUUCCGCCCCUUAGUGCUGCAGCUAACGCAUUAAGCACUCCGCCUGGGGAGUACGACCGCAAGGUUGAAACUCAAAGGAAUUGACGGGGACCCGCACAAGCGGUGGAGCAUGUGGUUUAAUUCGAAGCAACGCGAAGAACCUUACCAAAUCUUGACAUCCUUUGACAACUCUAGAGAUAGAGCCUUCCCCUUCGGGGGACAAAGUGACAGGUGGUGCAUGGUUGUCGUCAGCUCGUGUCGUGAGAUGUUGGGUUAAGUCCCGCAACGAGCGCAACCCUUAAGCUUAGUUGCCAUCAUUAAGUUGGGCACUCUAAGUUGACUGCCGGUGACAAACCGGAGGAAGGUGGGGAUGACGUCAAAUCAUCAUGCCCCUUAUGAUUUGGGCUACACACGUGCUACAAUGGACAAUACAAAGGGCAGCGAAACCGCGAGGUCAAGCAAAUCCCAUAAAGUUGUUCUCAGUUCGGAUUGUAGUCUGCAACUCGACUACAUGAAGCUGGAAUCGCUAGUAAUCGUAGAUCAGCAUGCUACGGUGAAUACGUUCCCGGGUCU